Molecule: non-coding RNA, 796 nt
Organism: Dermatophagoides farinae (American house dust mite)
Lineage: Eukaryota; Metazoa; Arthropoda; Arachnida; Sarcoptiformes; Pyroglyphidae
Source: RefSeq, a predicted model, not a curated record
UUUUCUGUUUUGAUAUGUCCAAAUUUUUUGUUUCUAUGCUGGCAAAUUUUGAUGGCCAUGUCGAUCUUUUUUUUGAAUUUUUCAUUUUCCCAAUAAUCGUUGACAAACAAAAUGUUUUGUUUUUCAUUUUCAAUAUGAUAUUCUAUAUUUGAAAAAAAUGAUGAAUAACUCUCUCUACGAUUGUAGCAUCUUACACACGUAAUUUGUGUGUAUGUGUGUUUCACAAUGUGAUUCUUCUAUAAUAUUCUGAUUUAUAGAAUGUUAUUAUUAUGAAAAAGUAAAACCUUUCAUUUUGUCAAAAACGAUUGUUUUGUUUGAAAAUGAUAAAUACAAAAAAAACGAUAUGUAGUAGUAGUAGUAGCUUGAUAUAUUUGCCUUCUAUUUCUUCAUUGUGUUUGAAUUGGACAUAUUUCACAACAACAACUACAACAACAAAAAACAAAACUCGAUUCCAUUCUGUUAAACUUGUUCCGAACCGAGAUAACAAUUGAAAACAACGUUCGUAAUAAGUUUAACGGACUGGAUCGAUCGAGUAAAUAAUCAACAAAUGAGAUAGAAAUGAAAAUACCAUAUAUCAUCACAUCAUCAUCGGAAAAGGACGAAUGAUCGAAAUAAUAACUGGACAGACCGAAAAUUCCAAUUUUGAAAAUGGUAAGCGUUUUGUGACGAGAAUCUCUCUAUGAUUAAGAGAAAAAACGUUUAGGAUGAAAACAUAUCACAUUCAUAGUUGAAUGUUUUGAGUUUGCGAGACAAAUUCAAUACAAAAAUGAUUCACAAGUCAUAGUUACCCUGAUUU